GACGAACGCUGGCGGCGUGCUUAACACAUGCAAGUCGAACGGACAGGCCCUGCUCUUGUGGGGUGCUCGAGUGGCGAACGGGUGAGUAACACGUGAGUAACCUGCCCUUGACUUUGGGAUAACUUCAGGAAACUGGGGCUAAUACCGGAUAGGAGCUCCUGCUGCAUGGUGGGGGUUGGAAAGUUUCGGCGGUUGGGGAUGGACUCGCGGCUUAUCAGCUUGUUGGUGGGGUAGUGACUUACCAAGCCUUUGACGGGUAGCCGGCCUGAGAGGGUGACCGGCCACAAUGGGACUGAGAUACGGCCCAGACGCCUACGGGCGGCAGCAGUGGGGAAUAUUGCACAAUGGGCGGAAGCCUGAUGCAGCAACGCCGCGUGCGGGAUGACGGCCUUCGGGGUGUAAACCGCUUUCGCCUGUGACGAAGCGUGAGUGACGGUAAUGGGUAAAGAAGCACCGGCUAACUACGUG
Molecule: ribosomal RNA, 468 nt
Filed under: uncultured bacterium
Lineage: Bacteria
Description: partial 16S ribosomal RNA
Rfam family: Bacterial small subunit ribosomal RNA
Source: RNAcentral